AGCGAACGCUGGCGGCAGGCCUAACACAUGCAAGUCGAACGAACCUUUCGGGGUUAGUGGCGGACGGGUGAGUAACACGUGGGAACGUGCCUUUAGGUUCGGAAUAACUCAGGGAAACUUGUGCUAAUACCGAAUGUGCCCUUCGGGGGAAAGAUUAAUCGCCUUUAGAGCGGCCCGCGUCUGAUUAGCUAGUUGGUUGAGGUAAUGGCUCACCAAGGCGACGAUCAGUAGCUGGUCUGAGAGGAUGAUCAGCCACAUUGGGACUGAGACACGGCCCAAACUCCUACGGGGGGCAGCAGGGGGGAAUCUUGCGAAAGGGGCGAAAGCCUGACGCAGCCAUGCCGGGGGAAUUAUGAAGGUUUUAGGAUGGUAAAAUUCUUUCCCCGGGGAAGAUAAUGACGGUACCCGGAGAAGAAGCCCCGGCUAACUUCGU
RNAcentral lists this ribosomal RNA (433 nucleotides) under uncultured bacterium. RNAcentral describes it as "partial 16S ribosomal RNA". It matches the Rfam family "Bacterial small subunit ribosomal RNA", at positions 29 to 506 of the family's 1533-position model. The record is from RNAcentral.